RNAcentral lists this long non-coding RNA (1017 nucleotides) under Sinocyclocheilus grahami. RNAcentral describes it as "lncRNA (ENSSGRG00000018759.1)". Lineage: Eukaryota; Metazoa; Chordata; Actinopteri; Cypriniformes; Cyprinidae. The record is from RNAcentral.
CAAUAUUUUGUUAUGGUUACACUUGAAUUUGUUACAAAAUAGAUGAAGGAUGGUAAAGCAUAGUUAAUUGUACCCAACAUGUUACCUGAGAGAAAGAGAUAGAGGGAGAGAGGGCAGAGACCCAAGAAGAGCUCCAACAAAGAAAAGAGGCAGCAAAGGAAAGAGCCAGCCAAGGAAAAAGACAGCCAAGGAAAAAGACAGAGCAACAGUUACAGUCCUCUUUUAUCCCUUCCUUUACAAUGUGACUAAAAACCAAAUGUGAGACAUUCAAACUGACCAAUCAGCAGAUUACAUCUUCACCCACUGGGCAAAAGGUGUGACAAUUAGCAGACCCCCGGUGUAUACACAUGUUGGCCUACAGGCCUUGAUCACUAUCAGCACCUCUGUGCCUUCAGGAAUUCCAAAUGGCCCUUUUGUUACUGAAGAUAGGUUUGGGACAGGAAAGCAGAAGUCUUUUUGACCUUACAGUUCCCAUAGUUAGAGACUUUAUAUCUUCCUUUCUUUAGAAGUUAUAAACAGUGCCAAGCACCUUUUCAAACUAACUGUUUAUCAGAUCACCUGUGACUCAGAGAUGCUUAAGUCAUGUAUCCAAGAGUGAUGAAUAACCAUGCAUUUUGUAAAGCCACCUUUCAAAACAAGUGUGGGCCUACCAUAACUGGUUCUUUAGCUUCUUAACAGCUGCACGAAUGCCAGCAGAACCAGUCGUUCCUUUGCUGACUUCAGCUGAAAAAUCCGUUAGAAAGGGCAUGGGUGGAGCCCUCCGGGUAAGUGUAGAGUAGCUGAGGAGUAACACCUUUGCCUACAGGUCUUCAGCAAUCUUUCAUCAGCCAACUAGAAGAAAGAGAGACAUGAGUGAGUCAGAUGCAUGACCGAUACUCAAAACAAGAUCAUCAAGGAGCCAGGUGCACUUCUGCCACCCACUGGUGGAGCGUGAAACCGAGACGGAGGAAAAAAAUGAAAAGACCCCCCCCCCCACACACACACACACACACACUCACACACUAAAUACCAUUGACC